RNAcentral lists this long non-coding RNA (6891 nucleotides) under Homo sapiens (human). RNAcentral's name for it is "HSALNT0310465". Lineage: Eukaryota; Metazoa; Chordata; Mammalia; Primates; Hominidae. The record is from RNAcentral.
UGAGAAGCCGGAGGCCGAGAGGGCCGGGCCGACUUGAAGAGGUGGGGAUUGCUGAGGGCUGGUCUGUCGGCUCUGGAAAUCCUGUCAUACUGUCACUUUUGGAUUCCGCCGUUUCCGUCCCAACGGAAAACUGGGGCUCCUGGAUUCCCCUGACCCGAGUUGUAACCACCGACGAGAAUCUUUUUCACUGGCGGCCUCGGCGUCGGCAUUUUAUAAAAUGAGAGCGGGGAGGGCGGCCGAAGACGAGUGUGCGGAGCCUUAGGCCCCCCGCUCGGGUCCGCUUUUCGUAUAUUCGGUUUUGGACAAAGAUGAAGAAACAAAUCUAGAGACUGGAUGACCUUGGAUCUCAGCUGUGAACCAAAGCCGUGGAGAUGAAGGAACUCUGGGAGUGAGUGAGGGAAGAGCAGUUGGUAUACAGACAGGGUGUUCCAGCUGCAAGAGGAGGGGAAUGCAGGAAUUGUCUUUUAAAUUUGUUAUCUGCACCUGAACUACACGUAUUCUUUAUCCUUGUGAAAAAUAAAAAUAAUUGCAGAUUAGGCUGAAAUCCAGCCUUCACAGAGGUAUCUGCUGUUCUAAGUGGAUCAAUGUCUGCAUGUGGUUUAUAUGUCUAUUAGUAUACAUGCUAGCUGCAGUGCCAGAAAAGCUUCCAAAUCUCAGUUGCUUAACACAAAAAAGUUUAUCUCUUGCUCAACACACAGUGUGAUGUGGUCGGGAGGUGACUCUGGGCAGCUGUUCCAGAAGGUGUCUCAGGGUCUAGGCUCAAAGUAAUGCUCAUCCCUUGCUUCUAACCUGUGGCAGGAAGAUUGAGUGGGACAUUUUAGGGGCUCAGCUAGAGGUAGCAUAUACUGAGUGUUGCAUAUUCCAACAGCCAGGACUCAGUCACACUGUCUUAAAGUAACUGCAAAGGAGACUGGGAAAUGUAGUAUUCUUAUGUGGGGAAGAUUUGUGAGCAUCAAGCAGAUCUUGCCACAAUAGUCAUGCCUAUCAAUAGGUUAUAUAUUGUAUUACAUGAUGGCAUGAGUAGGCAGUAGAAUAAAAGUGGUUGAAUUUUGGAUAUACAUUAUUUUGGCUGUAGAGUAGGCAGGGCUUACUGAUGGAUAUACAUGGGGGAUAAAGGAUAAAAGAAACCAAAUCUGAUUCCUGAGUUUUGGCAUGUGCAACAUGGGGGUUUGUAACACUGGAUUCUUGACAGAGAGGAAAAGAGACUUGGAGCAGGAAAAGUAUUAUUGGUGUUUUUUUUGUUUUGUUUUGUUUUGUUUUGGUGGGAGGAGUUCUAUUUUUCCAUUGUUAAGUUUGAAUUGCCUAUUAGAUAUUCAUGUGGAGAGGUCUGCAAGCCACAGGAGAAGACAGGGAAGUAGAUCUACAUUUGGGAGGCAUAGGCAUGUGGACAAUAUUGAAUGCCAGGAAGAGGGUGCAGAUAGAGAAGCAUGGAGAGCCUUUCUGUGAGUCCUGGGGCACAUCAAUAUCUAGAGAUGGAGCAGAGGAGAAGUCUAUGACAGAGAUAGAAAAGAACAUCCAGUUAGGUAGAUGGAAAACGAGGUAAAUGUAAUGACAUGGAUAUCUGAGAAGAGAUGAUUUCAAGAAGAAAGGUGGGGCCACCUUGCAUUGAAGACCACUAAGAAAGUGAGCAGGAGAGUGACUAAGAGGGAACCAUUAGUUUUGGCACCAUGAAUGUUACUUGAGGCUCUCAGUGGAACCAGUGUCCUUUCCUUCAGAUGCAGGAAACAGAAGCCAGUUGGAUGCAUUCUGGGAGAAUAGGAGUUGAGGAAAUGGAGGCAACAACCAUAGAUAGAUACUUUUUAUGACUAAAGAGAAUGAGAUGAAAGGAUACCCACCCAGGGUAUUAACACUGGUGGGCUCUGAGAUAUGGGAUCAGGCUCAUUCAGGAAAGUCUGUAUAUUGUUCUCAUUUGUGGCCACUGAACUCUCUGUUUUGCUACCAUGCAAAUCAGCUAUGAAUUGGAGAUAUAUUUUUUUAAAGUAUAGAACUAAGACUCUUGGACUGCUGAGGGGCACUGUGUGUGUGUGUGUGUGUGUGUGUGUGUGUGUGUGUGUCUAGGCAUGCUCUCAACACUUGGAGAGGCAGUUCAUGACCCUGUCUUAGAUUUUACUUCUGGCUCGUGCAGAGCUUCCUGGACAGCCUCAGGUGAGAACCUAGGGCCUUGUCAUGUCUUUCCUAGCAUACUUAUAGUCCUGAGUAUGCAUGCUAUUCCUAUGCAUGCUUAAAGCCCCCCAUGGACACUUUGUUCCCUGGAUUUUACUUUUUAAAAGCUUUUUUGGUUAGCUUGUUAUUUGAUCCACUCUUAUCACUACCUCAGGCAGCUGCAGUAUUAAACACUUGCCAUUGAUGAUUUUUGAUGAAUGCCUGUGGAGAAAAGGCCUUUCACACUGCAGGAAAUCUGAGUGAGGUAAAAUAAAGAGAAGACCUUUGAGUGGCGCUUUCUUAGGAAGCUCCAGAUUAAAUAAGGACAGUUGUCUAGGAUUGGGGUGUUGGAUGUUUCAACCUGUUCUUCCUCUCCAGUAGCUGCUAGGUUGCAGAUUUUAACUAUGAUUACUGAUUUUUGAUUUUCAAAGGUGCUGUGCAGUUGGGAUAAAGUGAGUAAGAAUAGAGCAAUUUAUAUGCCAAAAGAAAUGCUGUCCUUACCAAUAUUCAGCCAUUUUCUUGAAUAAAUGCUCUCUGGAUUAUUAUAAGAUUUUGGUUAAUUUCUAGAGUUCUGAAAGACUUGAUUUCAAUAAUUAUUGCCUGUGUUCCCAUUGCUUUUAUGGAGUAGGGGAGUUUUGGAGGUCCUUAUUCUGCCAUUCCCUUCUGACAUCACUCUAGCUGCUAUUUCUAGUAACUCCGUUUCCUGUCCAGUCCUCUUUGUGCUUACUCUCUGUUCUAUAUACUUUCUCUUUCAUCUUUUCAUCUUCCUUCUGAUUAUUUUAUUGGCUUUCUGCAUAAUGCAAGAUCAUGUUUGAAAUUACUCAAAUGUUAUCUUCCCUGAAUUGUUUAUUUCUGCACCAGUUGUCUUACAAUGAGUACUUUUUCAGCUAGGGAAGAGGUCAUUUGCAAUUGAGCUCUCAAUAGUUCUAGAAGGUGAGACAUGAAACAUACAAUAGGACAAUUCUGAACAAGGGUAUUCCUAAGUUGACUGAAAGAAUAUUCACAAGGAAAAGCUCUUUGUAAAAUUUAUUUCAAAAGGAGGGGAGGGAGACUUGAAGCUAGGUACAUUCAUCUUCAAUAAAGCAUUGACUGUGGAGAAAGGAAAUGAAUAUAGUAAAAUUGGAAGCCAGUUUUUAUCUGAGCUCAAAGCUAAUUCCUCCAAGGAAAGCAGCAUCUCAUAGUUAUUUGAGGGCAUUUGAAGUGUAAUUUUGAUACAGUUGAGAGAAACUGUGCUAGCAAGAAAUAUUAUAAACAUAAAAAUGUGGGAAAUUAUUAGUUCAACCUAUGCAUGUGUAAAACUUUUUUUAAUAUAAUAAUGUGGGACAACUUUCAGUUAUAACAAACUUCAUAAGACAUCAAGAGGUUCAUAGUGUAGAGGUUCCUAUAAGUGUAAUAAAUGUAGGAAGGCCUUCACUAGAAAAUUCCACUUCAUUGUGCAUAGAGAAGUCAUACUGGAGAGAAUUUUUAUGAUUUUAAUUAAAGUAAAAAGCCACAGUACCAGGGGUUAAAAUUCUUUAGCCACCCAAAAUUUGUAGAAAUGAUAAUCCUAAUCAAUAUAACAAAUAUGGCAAAGCUUUCUUCAGUGGAUAAUACUUUAUUGUAUAUCAGAAGAAUCACACAGGAGGGGAAAUUAGAUUCCUAUAGCUGCCAAAACAGAUAAGCACAAAUUGGGUGGCUUAAAACAACAGGAGUUUAUUCUCUCACAGCUUAAGAGGCCAGAAGUCAGAAAUAAAGGGAUUUGGGAAGUUUGUUCCUUCUGGAGGCUCUCAAGAAGAAACUGUUCUAUGCCCUUCUCCUAGAUUCUGCUGGUUGCCAGUAAUUUUUGGCAUUGCUUGAUGUGUAGCUAUAUCACUCCAGUCUCCAUCCUCACAUGGCUUUCUUCUCUGUGUGUGUCUCUGUCUCUUCUACUCUUCUUGUAAGGAAACCAGUCAUCAUAUUUAGGGCAUAUCCUAAUUUCAGUAUGACUUUAUCUUCAAUAAUUACAUCUGAAAAGACCCCAUUCCAAAUAAAGUUACAUUCCAAGAUUCUGGGUGGAUGUGAAUUUUGAGGGGGAGGUGGACACUAUUCAACCCACUACAAACCCCGUGAAUGUAGUAAAUGUGAGAAACCUUGUACCUGUAGCUCAGUUUCUGUACAACAAUAGUAAGAAGUCCUUUGAAUGCUAGCAAUGUGGGCAGUUCUUUAACUAUAAAUCAUCCUUCAUUAGUAUUGGAGAAUUCAUACUGGAGAGAAUACAGUAUAAACUGUAAUUAGUGUGGAAAUACUUUUCAAAAUAACUUCUCUUUUACUAAUGUAAAAACUCCUAAUACUCCUAAAUCUCAUUAAUAUAGUCAAUGUAUUAAAUUAUUUAGAUACCUCAUUAACCACAGAGAAUGCACAUUGAAGAGAAACCUCAUGAUUAUGUCACAGAGCCUUUAGCUAUAAAGACCUCAUUUAGAGAGCAAAUAAUUUACACUGGAGAAAACAUUAUCAAUUUAUUACAUUCAUCAGAAUGUAUAAGAGUUCAUUAAUUACUUGGCAUGUAAAGACUCAUGCACGUGGAUAAACAACAUGUGAGAACUCAUACAGGUGAAAAGCCAGUUUGGGAAAAUCACCUGGAAAAGAAACUUUGUAAAUCACUAAAUUCAUCCUGAGUACAUACUGAAUUAUUCUAUUAAUUUGGAAAAUUUGGAAUUCAUGUAAACAUAUUCUAAUAAAUUGAUAUUAUCAGAUACCAAAAAGAAAAACUUAUAAGCUUUAAGAUUCUUCAGUAUAGUGUUUAUAAUUUUUUGCAUAAUUUAAAUUAAUUCAGGUAGCAGAAUAAAAAUUCAAAUACACUGGAAAGGAAUAGGAAUAUGAUAGGGUAUGAUUCAGAGUCCCUACUCUCGUAGUACCUUACUUUUAUUUUUUAAACCAACAAGUUAGAAGGGAAACCUAUUUAUGAGGGUCAUGUACCAUAUUUUAUCAAAUCAAACUUGUAAUGAACUGUGAGAUAUGCCAUUAUUUUGUGUACCACUAAGACUUAAAAAACCUCCUAGACUAUGGUAUUUCAUUGAUUAUAAGAUGCAUCAUGAUUCAGAGGUGUUGAAAUGUGGGGGUAUAAGUGAACCCUACAAUGGAGUCUCUAAGCCAUAUGAUAAUUCAGUAAUAUUUCAUUAGGUAGAGGGAAAAAUGCAUUGGAUUUGAGCCCAAAUUAACAAAAUCUAAUCUUUUCCUCUCUACCAAAAAUCUUGUGCUGAAAUAGUAAUUGCACUUAUUUCUGUAAUAUUUUGCUUUCUUUUCAGAAAUCUUUUUUGGUAUUUCAGCAUGUGUAUGGAUGGUAUACUAAGAAUUGAUCACAUUUGGUUGUUGAGGGGCCAGGAUGGCUGAUUGGAAGUAGCUGCAGUCUGUGGCACUCACAGAGAGGAAUGAAAGGAGCAAGUGAAUUCAGCACCUUCAAUUGAGAUAUUCGGGUUCUCAUAUUGGGACUGACUAAGCAAAUAGCUUGACCCACAGAGAAUGAAAAGAAGUGGGGUGGGGUGAUGACCCACUUGGGAGCAGCACCAAGCCAAGGGAACCCCCACCCCCAGCCAAGGGAAGUGGUGAGUCAAUGCGUGACCCUUCCCCAGAAAUUACACUCAUCCCAUGGAUCUCUGCAAGCUGUGGAUCAGGAGAUCCCCUCAUGAGCCACAAUACCAGGGUCUUGGGCUCGAUACAUGGCCUGUGUGGAGUCUUGGCAGAGUGGCCACUCAGGCACACACAGACACCCAGGAGUUUUGCAUACUCCAGCCCCAGGAUCUGUGGCAAGGCAGAAGAUUCAUCUGUGCAUGUCCCUAGGAAGGGGGCUGAGUCUGGGGAGCCAAGUGGCAUCAUUCUGCAGGCCCCAUUUCCAUGGCAUCUCACAGGUUGAGACCCAAUGGCUUGGAAUUCCAGCCAGCCGGCAGCAGUAGGCUGGAGUCUGCCUGAGUCUGGACCAAGUUCCCAGGGGUAGGGGUGGCUGCCAUCUCUGUGGUUUGGUAGACUCAGUUGUUUCAGCCUGCCAGCUUUGAAAAAUACAGGUGGUCUGAACAAGGGGGGGAUCCCCACAGGACAGCACAGCUGCCUUGCCAGAUCUUGGCCAGACUGCUUUUUUAAGCAGGACCCUGAACCAUUUCUUCUCACUGGGUGAGACCUCCCUGCAGGGGCUUCAGCCACUCCAGCAAGUGUUCUAUAGACAGAGCUCUGAUCUCUACCCCCAGGGAGAGCUUUGUCCCACAAAGCUCCAGGGGGAGGGGUGGCUACCAUCUCUGCAGUUUGGUAGACUCAGCUGUUCCAGCCUGCUGGCUUUGGAGAAUACAAAUGGUCCAGAUGAGGAAUGGUCCUCCCCAACUCAGCUUACCUGCUCUACCAAAGGGCAGUCAGACUGCUUCUUUAGGUAGGUCCCUGAUCCUGUUCUUUCCCACUGGGUGAGACCUCCUAGCAGGGGUCUUCAACCACCUCCUGCAGCCACAUUCAGGCUGGCAACAAGUGAGUGGCCCCGGAGUUGGAGUUUCUGGAGGAAGGAGCAGGCUUCCCUCUUUGCUGUUUUGCAGGCAUCACUUGUGAUACCUCCAGGUAUGGGAAAAACCGAGGCAACUAGGGUCUGGAGUGGAACCCCAGCAAACCACAACAGCUUUACUGAAGAGUGGCCUGUUAAAACAAACAGAAAAUAACAACAUCCACAAAGAUCUCACAAAAGUCAGAAACCUCAAAGAUUGAAGGUAGAUAACCCCACAAAGAUGAGAAAAAAUCAACACAAAAACACUGAAAACU